RNAcentral lists this non-coding RNA (28 nucleotides) under Rattus norvegicus (Norway rat). Lineage: Eukaryota; Metazoa; Chordata; Mammalia; Rodentia; Muridae. The record is from RNAcentral.
ACCUUCUUGGGUGCCCACACUCUCUCCU